CACUUCUGUGUGCACAGAGCCAAACCAACCAAAAAUAAAACCUGUGGUAGGCGAUUUUUGCACACUAAACUACCUGAUAACGCGCUCAGGCGACGUAGACCGUGUCGUCACGUCUUCAAACCCAGAGGCGCCGUCCAAAUGGCUCGACAAGGCGACCCUGGUACAAGUGGGCGUGGGCGGCCUCUGGAAAUGCAUAGAUGAAAUGGUCCUCGACAUGAACCCAGGAGAAGAACGGCACGAAAGAUUAACAACAAUCGUGAACGAAAACAUGGAAACCGAAGUGCGGCUACGCCUGAAAGCAAUAGUUAGCCAGUUUCUUGAUUGCGAACGCGUCUCGCAUUUACAGGACCGCCUACUCAACUCACGCAGCAUAUCCAUAAAAGCUGACCACAUCCCAGACUCAAAAAAGGCCAUCGAAUUGUAUCAAGAGGCACUCCGACCCUUAGAAACGGCACUCAACCUGAAGGAGCCCGAGAACUGCGCUGUCUGCAUCGAAAUGUGCGACUUAUACCUCAAAAUUGCCGAUGUUCAUGCCAAAAUCCAGGAACACGAUCUCUGCAUUCAAUACGCACACAAAGUACUCGAGAAAAUUGAAAAAACACAAGUCCCAUUCGAACGACUGGCAGAGCAAGUGCACAUUCUCCUAGGCAAAGCCUACGAAUCCGUGAAAGAUUAUACGCAAUCUAGACACCAUUAUAUCGAAGCUUCAAAAUGGGCCCCCCGAGGCAGCAUGAAAGAGGCCAUAGAAAGAGUCACCAGAGCCGCCGGGCCGCAUUCUAAUAGAACGCCGCCAAUGUGAAACCACGCGUAGGAAGGACGUACGGUAUGCAAUUCCUUGUCUCUGCGUGUGCAUCUAGCUCAGAGCCCUCCGUUAUAAGACGUUGUUCAUCGACGCAUGGCACACAUCAAACCGCACAAAAAACAACAAGUCGCUAUCAUAUACACAUAUAUAUUUACACGCGCACACAUGUGCUAAUCCCUUAUCUCGCCAAGCGAGACCUUGA
This is a long non-coding RNA of Schistocerca gregaria, 1004 nucleotides long. RefSeq lists it as uncharacterized. The transcript is spliced from 3 exons. The record is from RefSeq and is a predicted model, not a curated record. NCBI's taxonomy places the organism in Eukaryota, Metazoa, Arthropoda, Insecta, Orthoptera, Acrididae.